This 1485-nucleotide ribosomal RNA is filed under the name Triticum aestivum (bread wheat). Its description in RNAcentral is "partial small subunit ribosomal RNA". The record is from RNAcentral. Lineage: Eukaryota; Viridiplantae; Streptophyta; Magnoliopsida; Poales; Poaceae.
AUGGCUCCCUCCUCCUCCUCCACCUCCGUGCUCCUCAUCCUCCUCCUCUCCGUCGUCCCGGCCAGCCUCGCCUCGACCCCGGUCUCCGAUGGGCUGGAGCUGGAGCUUGGAGGAGACGGCCUGUACAGGGAGAUUCUCAGGGACGAGACGGUGCUCAGGCUCAAGGAACUCGGCAAGAUAUCUGAUGGCGAAGGAUUCCUCGAAAGGACAUUCCUGAGUCCUGCUUCCUUCAGAGCCACUGAUGUCAUUAUCAGCUGGAUGAAAGAUGCCGGACUUACGACGUGGGUUGAUCAAAUGGGUAACAUUCAUGGUCGAUUUGAGCCCUCCAAUUCGACAGAUAAGGCUCUAUUGAUUGGAUCCCAUAUGGAUACUGUCAUUGAUGCUGGCAUGUAUGAUGGAGCUUUGGGUAUUAUAUGCGCAAUCUCUGCUCUGAAGGUCUUGAGAGUCACCGGAAAACUUCAAAGGCUCACUAGACCAGUAGAGGUGAUUGCAUUCAGCGACGAGGAGGGUGUUAGAUUUCAGACAACAUUUCUGGGAAGCGCCGCUGUAGCUGGUAUUCUACCUGAAUCAAUUUUGCAAGUAUCUGACAAGAGUGGCACUACAGUUCAAGAAGUUCUUCGGCUGAACUCCUUCGAGGCUAGCGCUGAUGCUCUUGGUCAAGUCAAGUACAGCCCAGAGUCCGUGGGGAGCUAUGUUGAGGUUCACUUGGAACAAGGGCCUGUCCUGGAAGCCCUCCGCUAUCCCCUUGGAGUCGUAAAAGGAAUCGCAGGGCAGACGCGAUUGAAGGUAAUAGUAGACGGUUCCCAAGGGCAUGCUGGGACGGUUCCAAUGAAAUUGCGCCGUGAUCCGAUGGUUGCAGCUGCAGAGCUGGUGGUGACACUGGAGGGCCUGUGCAAAGACCCGAGCAGGUUCCUGACCUACGACGAGGAGUGCGGCUGCUUCACCGAGGAGUCCCUCGCCGGCCUCGUCUGCACCGUCGGCGAGCUGCUCACGUGGCCCAGCGCCAGCAAUGUCAUUCCAGGGCAGGUGAAUUUCACGGUGGACAUACGGGCCAUGGACGACCUGGUGCGGGAGACGAUCGUGGCGAGCUUCUCGCGGAUCGUCAUGCAGCGGUGCGACCACCGGCUGGUCGACUGCGCCGUCGAGCACAAGCACUCGGCGGCGGCCACGCCGUGCGACCCGGAGCUGACGGCCCAGCUGAAGCGCGCGACGCGGUCGGCCGUGUCGGCGAUGGCGCCCGGCGGCCACGGCCACGGCCGUGCGGUGGGAGCCGGGGAGUCGACGGCGGCGACGCCAGUGCUGAUGAGCGGCGCGGGGCACGACGCGAUGGCGAUGGCGCGGCUGACGCGGGUGGGGAUGCUGUUCGUGCGGUGCCGCGGCGGGGUGAGCCACUCGCCGGAGGAGCACGUGGCGGAGGACGACGUGUGGGCCGCCGGGCUCGCGCUGCUCCGUUUCGUGGACCAGCACGCCGUCGCCGAGCUGUGA